Zingiber officinale is the source of this 675-nucleotide long non-coding RNA. RefSeq lists it as uncharacterized. The transcript has 4 exons. The record is from RefSeq and is a predicted model, not a curated record. Lineage: Eukaryota; Viridiplantae; Streptophyta; Magnoliopsida; Zingiberales; Zingiberaceae.
CCUCCGCCGUUUCCUCUCUUAUCUUUCGCGAUUUUGAAGCCGCCCUCACAUGACUUCGAAGUCGCCGGCCCUACUUCGGACUCUUCCGUCUUCCCCUCCCCACCGUGUGCCGACGCAGAAGACGUCUACCACAUUCCCAUCGUCACCAACCGCACGAGCCCUCUGCUACCUCCCUCGGCCGACAUGGGGUCUUCGUCCAACCCCUUCUCUAUUCAUCGUCGUCUUGGUGACCUAAGCAGGGCACUGCCCCGGCCGCCGCCAAGGACUUGAGAUCCUUGGCAGUCUUCUGACAGAGACCCGACCCUUGCCCUCAACACAGUCGAUGUCCGCACGCUCUGCCCUCAACGCAGCCGAAUUGGGUCACUUAUUAAUAAUGGAUUGGAUCUUCCUGGUCCCUUCGAUUCCUCUACGAGAGUUGGUUAAGGAUUUGAGUUCGAAGCAAACCCUCUGACUAGAUGGUUUGGACGCUCUACAUUUUCUACAUUUGAGGUGUCCUCAAAAGUACUAGGAAGAAUGCCGAAAAACUAAAAAAAAAGAAGAGACUUUAAUAAGUUAAGGAACACUAGGAGCUGCAGUGCUGCCUCUUCACCGACAUCCAAGCAGAAAAUCUCAUGUUAUAUUGCUCUACCUUUGUUUUAAUAGUGUUGUUAGUUAUCAUUUUGUUGGUUGCUUAUG